This is a non-coding RNA of Microcebus murinus (gray mouse lemur), 666 nucleotides long. The record is from RefSeq and is a predicted model, not a curated record. NCBI's taxonomy places the organism in Eukaryota, Metazoa, Chordata, Mammalia, Primates, Cheirogaleidae.
CUGCCUCUCAGGGUGCUAGGAUUACACUGCACCUGGCCUCUAGCAGUGUUUUUAUUUUUGAGAGGGCUGGAUGGAAAGAGGAAUUAGUUUCUAUCUCAUUAGGACUCUGUUUCUGCUAGAGUGUGUCACUUUAUCUGGGAGAGGGUAACAGCUGCACCUCCCCAGUGAGCCUUAGGAGAAGCCAAACAUUCUACCGUGGGGCCUGUUUAACCACUGUGGAAUCAACUUGGUAGAGUUUGGAUGCCAUCUUCCCAUGCUGCCAAGAUGUCUGUGGCUGUUUCAGACGCUGUGUUUUGUUUUAUAUCACACAUAGAGUCUGGGUGGAAAAAAACAGAUCUGAAACUCUUCUUUGAGUGUGAGUUUUUUUGUUUUGUUUUGUUUAGUUUUUCUAUAGGUCACCAUCAAAUAGGAUCUCCAUUUCUGGCUAAAAAUAAUUUCAAGAAGGACAUUGAAAGCAAGCCUCCUGAAGAAUAUCAUUUAAUCAUUUUUAAUUAGUCACAAGACACAUUUCCAGGCAAUAUGGUGACAGUGCUGAAGAUGCAAAAACGAUGAGAUAAUACUUAUAGUCCAUCAAGAAUAAGGAGGUCAUCAUUUGCAAUAGCCACAAAUUGGGAACAAUUCCACUUCCCAUCAGCUGGUGAAUGAAUAAACACAAUGUGGCAUAUC